ACGCCGCGGAUCCGCCCGCCGGGCCGGGCUGCCCUCCUCCAGGAGAGGGAGGUGCACGAUUGGCUCCGCUUCGGGGCCAAGGCCCUGCUCCCUUUUUGCACGGGGACCGAGCGUGUCGGCCGAAGUGAUCCAAGCCGGGUGGGAAAGACUGCAGAGAGGCUGCUGGGUUGGGCCGCUGGCUGAGGAGGGUAAUGAACUGAACCCACCCGCCAGUGCCGCCACUCACUCCCCUCCUGAAUCCCGAGACAGGAGGGAGGCCUUGGUCAGCACUGGACAACUGCGGCAGCCCGGACAGUAACCAGAGGUGGCCACCGCCCCGAUAUACGGGUUUGCUGCUGGCCUCUUCCCCCCACCCUACAGGAUGGUAUGAAAUUUGAAAGAAGACGAUGCAUACAGGAUGAAGAGAUGGCCCUGGGUCUUCCUCUGAAUGCCCAGCCGGACUCUGCCCUUCCUCCAUUUCUUCCACAGCCACCGGAGCCACAUUCCCACUCCCUGUCAGCUGCUCAAUCUCCCCCUCAGAAUCAGACUCUCAACAAGGGCAUGACAAUGAAUGCCAAAAGAUAG
Molecule: long non-coding RNA, 564 nt
Filed under: Pseudonaja textilis
Lineage: Eukaryota; Metazoa; Chordata; Lepidosauria; Squamata; Elapidae
Description: lncRNA (ENSPTXG00000012352.1)
Source: RNAcentral